GUGCUCACUUUGGCAGCACAUAUACUAAAACUGGAACAAUACACAGAAGAUCAGCAUGGCCCCUGCGCCAGGAUGACGUGCAAAUUCAUGAAGAAAAUACUGACUCU
Molecule: small nuclear RNA, 107 nt
Organism: Octodon degus (degu)
Lineage: Eukaryota; Metazoa; Chordata; Mammalia; Rodentia; Octodontidae
Source: Ensembl